This 141-nucleotide transfer RNA is filed under the name Nemania serpens. RNAcentral describes it as "tRNA-Cys". It matches the Rfam family "tRNA". From Rfam's summary of the family: Transfer RNA (tRNA) molecules are approximately 80 nucleotides in length. Their secondary structure includes four short double-helical elements and three loops (D, anti-codon, and T loops). Further hydrogen bonds mediate the characteristic L-shaped molecular structure. tRNAs have two regions of fundamental functional importance: the anti-codon, which is responsible for specific mRNA codon recognition, and the 3' end, to which the tRNAs corresponding amino acid is attached (by aminoacyl-tRNA synthetases). tRNAs cope with the degeneracy of the genetic code in two manners: having more than one tRNA (with a specific anti-codon) for a particular amino acid; and 'wobble' base-pairing, i.e. permitting non-standard base-pairing at the 3rd anti-codon position. The record is from RNAcentral. Lineage: Eukaryota; Fungi; Ascomycota; Sordariomycetes; Xylariales; Xylariaceae.
GCACUGAUAGCUCAGCGGUAGAGCAAUCGGCUGCAGUUUGCCAAAAAUACAUCCGAUAGUAAGGACUAGCCCUUUAACGCUUCACAACCCAAGCCUAACAUUUAACUUCUAGGGGCCUCGGUUCAAAUCCGGGUCAGUGCU